GCAGCAUUAAGACAGAGGCUAGUCUACCUGCUUGCCAUGCAGGAAACAGGGGUUCGAGUCCCCUAUGCUGCA
This 72-nucleotide transfer RNA is filed under the name Thermoproteota archaeon. RNAcentral's name for it is "Crenarchaeota archaeon tRNA-Gly". It matches the Rfam family "tRNA". From Rfam's summary of the family: Transfer RNA (tRNA) molecules are approximately 80 nucleotides in length. Their secondary structure includes four short double-helical elements and three loops (D, anti-codon, and T loops). Lineage: Archaea; Thermoproteati; Thermoproteota. The record is from RNAcentral.